Long non-coding RNA from Chinchilla lanigera (long-tailed chinchilla), 328 nucleotides. RefSeq lists it as uncharacterized. NCBI's taxonomy places the organism in Eukaryota, Metazoa, Chordata, Mammalia, Rodentia, Chinchillidae. The transcript is spliced from 2 exons. The record is from RefSeq and is a predicted model, not a curated record.
CCGGCGGAGUGGUUUCUCUGCAGUCACCAACACGGCUAUGUCUUCCUCCUCACGACUGAGACAGAAAACAAACAAGCAUCCUACAGGCCUGAGUCCACCAGCUACUCUGCAGCCCUAGUGCACCAUACCUGGCUCAGUUACCAACCUAAUCAUAUCCAGAGGCCAAUAAGGAAAAGGGCUCACGCCACAGCAGUGCUGGGGGAAAUUAGUGCAACAAAGGGGCUGGUACCUGUCAGAUGGGGACAGCCCUCCACAGUCCAAGGUCUCAUCCGUGAUAAACUUGACAUCUGAAGGAGAAAGAAGAAUAAAUGCCAACACUGGUUCCUGA